This 460-nucleotide ribosomal RNA is filed under the name uncultured bacterium. Its description in RNAcentral is "partial 16S ribosomal RNA". It matches the Rfam family "Bacterial small subunit ribosomal RNA", at positions 338 to 795 of the family's 1533-position model. The record is from RNAcentral.
CCUACGGGUGGCAGCAGUGAGGAAUAUUGGUCAAUGGACGAGAGUCUGAACCAGCCAAGUAGCGUGAAGGAUGACUGCCCUAUGGGUUGUAACCUUCUUUUAUAUGGGAAUAAAAUGUUACACGUGUGGGAUUUUGUAUGUACCAUAUGAAUAAGGAUCGGCUAACUCCGUGCCAGCAGCCGCGGUAAUACGGAGGAUCCAAGCGUUAUCCGGAUUUAUUGGGUUUAAAGGGAGCGUAGGUGGAUUGUUAAGUCAGUUGUGAAAGUUUCCGGCUCAACCGUAAAAUUGCAGUUGAAACUGGCAGUCUUGAGUACAGUAGAGGUGGGCGGAAUUCGUGGUGUAGCGGUGAAAUGCUUAGAUAUCACGAAGAACACCUAUUGCGAAGGCAGCUCACUGGACUGCAACUGACACUGAGGCGCGAAAGUGUGGGGAGCAAACAGGAUUAGAUACCCGAGUAGUC